This is a long non-coding RNA of Durio zibethinus, 2952 nucleotides long. RefSeq lists it as uncharacterized. Lineage: Eukaryota; Viridiplantae; Streptophyta; Magnoliopsida; Malvales; Malvaceae. The record is from RefSeq and is a predicted model, not a curated record.
GAAAGAUUUAAUGGCGUUUGAACGAAUAGACGCUGGUAGAAAUUAGUGGCAUUUUAGAAAUAAACACCAUUAAUUUUUCCCUAAAACCCAGGUUUCCUUUUCUUCUUUAUGCUUGAUCUCUUUUCCUUUCCCAUGUUUUUUUCUUCUUUACAAACCUAGGCCAUUUGCUUCAUUCUUUAUUUUGACCUAAAAUGAAACCCAGGUUUCCUUUUCUUCUUUGCACUCGAUUUCCUUUGGUUUCCUAGGCUUCUUGCUUCUCUGCAAACUUAGGUCAUUUGUUUUACUUUUGCUUUCGAUUCUUUUUCUUUUCAUGCCAUUUCCAAUGUGUUGUCUUUUUUUUCGAUCUGAUUCCUUUUCCUUUUCCAAUUUGUUUCGAAUCCCACCUUAAACUAAACCCUCAAGAACUUUACCGUUCACUUGCCACUAUCGUUCCAUUAAUGACAUUCAUCUCCCUUUUCCAUCCAUCUACAACACUGGUUUAAGGUCCAGGAUUUGAAGGGUAGUGAUGUGAAGUUGAAGUUGAUAUUGGAUAUACAUAGACAUAAAUUUAUUGAUUCAAGGUUGCUGCAUUUGUAACAAUGUUUGUAGUAGUGUACAUGAGAAUAUUCCUUGAAGAAAGUAUUCCAAAUCAAGUCGACAGUAUAACACAACCAAUCUUGAAAGAAAGGGAAGAUGGAUUCAAUAGGAUGGUAAUGCACCUAGAAAGAUGUUAGUAUCCAAGAAAACUCCAUCAAUGGGAGAUAUUAUUUGUUUGCUGAAGAGCAGGUUAGGCUUGCUAUAGUAAUAUUUUCCUAGCACUUUGGCCUAUUCUCAGAACUGGUAAAGUUAGGCUAUCAUUUUAAAGAAGUGAAUGUAUAAGUUGUUUUCAUGACCUAAUACUCACAAUAAUUUAAUGCAAUUGUCUUAUUAUUAAAGUUUGAAAUGACUAAUAAAGUUUUAAUUUCAAUAUAUCAUAUUCCCGAGCAACAGUUGUUGCUUUCUUCAAUAGGGCGGGAUGAUAUCUUCAUCAAUGGUAUGACUUCCUUUCUAAUUAUGAAAUUAUGACCUUUACCAAAUAGGAACUUGAGAUAAGUUUUCUGAUCUCAUGAUCCAAAUAUACAUAGCUGAAAAUGACAAAAUCAAUGAUUCAGAAGCAAACUCAAAGAAAUGAACAAGCAAACUAAAACAAAAAAUUAAUAGGGUAGUAAAGCAAUCACAUGAAAAUAAAUUAAACAAAAACUUAAAACACUUGAUUCAAAUAACAAAAUGCCUCUUGGGUGAAUGCUCAACCCAGAAGUAACCUUAUCAACCCCCAAAUAACCAUGAAAAGUCAAAGAAACAACAACCUAAAGCAAACAUUAAAAUCUGGAAAUAGGUUCUGGACAACAUCUGAUUAAAAUUAAGUUUCCAUUCUCAUUUGAUAGUAUUUGAUCUCCAAAUUUUUUGUGGAAGUAACUAACUAAUAUGUAAACAUGCACAUAAAUUUUCAAAAGCAUUGGACAUCAUUUAGUACUUAAAAUUUGACCAAAAUCGUAGUGAAACAAAAUCUGGAAUAUCAGCUUGGAAAAUGAAAUAGCUCCUACUAAAUCUUAGAUCUAGCUCAAAAUAUGCAAUUUUACUGUCAAAUUUUAUAGAAGCUUAGAUAGCUCAUAGUUCAACAAGCAAAAAAAAGAUUGAUACAAAUUGAAACAGAAUUGAAAUUGAAAAGUAACAAAAACCGAAACAAAAUAAAAUCUAAAAAUAGAAUAGCAUUUUGGAAAUAGCUUUUAAAGAAAGUUAAAUUUGUUAGCUCAAUUAGAACUACUUGAUCAAGAGAAAGCAUUGUAAAUCAAGCUAACAAGUGGAGGAACAGUAUAUAAAAUGCUCAUGAUUUGUUGAAAAUAAAAUCAACUUGAAAAUUAAUUAAACAAUAGCAAACAUCAAACCUAGAAACUUAAAAACUGUGUCGAAUACAAAUUGAAAUUGCAAGCUUAAAUGGAAAAUGUUUGCUUAAAGGAACCAAAGUAGAGCUAAAUAACAAGUAAAGGAAUGUAAAAGAAACUUAAAUAAAUUAAAAAAAAAAAGGAAAAACAAAGAACAAAGACUAAAUAGCCAAGAACAUAGUAGCUAUGGAGCCGCAACACCUGGAGUUCUAGCCAAGAAAAAAAAUGUUGAGGCAUGUAUGAAGAGGGACUCUUCUAUAGCUGAAUGAAAGCUUUUUUAAUGUUUGAUCCAAGCUUUACAUGAUACAAUCUCAACCUUCAAAAAUGCCAAGUCAGCUCAAGGAUAUUUGGAAGAUAGAUAGCCGCCCAUAAUCAAUUUUGCACUAGUUGAAAUUUCCAGCUAGCUUCCUCCCUCAUGUCAGGCUUGUUUUGCCAAUCAAAUGAGGUGUAUUAUUGGCUUCCCAUUUAAGGUGAGUUGUCAUCCUUCUAAAGUCUUCAAAUGUUGCAUUUUGAGCUGUCUAAAUUGACCAAACACUAGUUGAUAGCAAAUCUUGACAAAGUUGGCAACAUUUUUAGUUCAACUUGGUGCAAGUCUUCUUCAUCCAAAAUUUAAGCAAGAAAAUUUGUAACGUAUGGGGACUUUUUAUGCGUAAGUAGCUGGCUUUUUCCUUUCUUUUUCUUUUUUUUGUCUCAUGUGCAUUUUCUUGGAAGAGCUUACUUAUUACAUCAAAAACUUUGGAACCCAUGUGCACACUGCCAGCAUCUUUUUCUUAGUUGCAACAGGUAUUAACUUUGAGCUGUUAUGCUAGUUGUAUUUCCCUUUUUUUGUAGCCUAUGUGAUGACAUCUUAAAUGGACCUAUGAUAAUUUUAUAAAAAAUGAAAUUAUCAAAUAGCAGUUGCAAAUUGAUGAUACUUGCUUAACUUUAUGAAUGGUAAUACUAACUAGUUUGUUGAUUCAUUUAGAUUUCAAAUAUUGAAAGAUCUAAUACCAAACACUAAUUAAAAUAGAGAUAUAGCUUCAUUCCUGCCAGAGGAAUGUCAUGAUUCUCG